RNAcentral lists this ribosomal RNA (468 nucleotides) under uncultured bacterium. Its description in RNAcentral is "partial 16S ribosomal RNA". It matches the Rfam family "Bacterial small subunit ribosomal RNA", at positions 28 to 507 of the family's 1533-position model. The record is from RNAcentral.
GACGAACGCUGGCGGCGUGCUUAACACAUGCAAGUCGAACGGAAAGGCCCUGCUUUUGUGGGGUGCUCGAGUGGCGAACGGGUGAGUAACACGUGUGUAACCUGCCCUUGACUUUGGGAUAACUUCAGGAAACUGGGGCUAAUACCGGAUAGGAGCUCCUGCUGCAUGGUGGGGGUUGGAAAGUUUCGGCGGUUGGGGAUGGACUCGCGGCUUAUCAGCUUGUUGGUGGGGUAGUGGCUUACCAAGGCUUUGACGGGUAGCCGGCCUGAGAGUGUGACCGGCCACAUUGGGACGAAGAUACGGCCCAGACGCCGACGGGAGGAAUCAGUGGGGAAUAUAGCACAAUGGGCGGAAGCCUGAGGCAGCAACGCCGCGUGCGGGAUGACGGCCUUCGGGUUGUAAAGCGCUUUCGCCUGGGACGAAGCGGGAGUGACGGUAAUGGGUAAAGAAGCACCGGCUAACUACGUG